Molecule: ribosomal RNA, 486 nt
Filed under: uncultured bacterium
Lineage: Bacteria
Description: partial 16S ribosomal RNA
Rfam family: Bacterial small subunit ribosomal RNA
Source: RNAcentral
GAUGAACGCUGGCGGCGUGCCUAAUACAUGCAAGUCGAACGCUGGAGAUCUAGCUUGCUAGAUCGAAGGAGUGGCGAACGGGUGAGUAAUAAAUAAGCAACCUACCCACGAAGACUGGGAUAAUCUCUGGAAACGGGGACUAAUACCGGAUAGGUAAUCGGAAGGCAUCUUCUGGUUAUUAAAGGUUAAAAACACUGGUGGAUGGGCUUAUGGCGCAUUAGUUAGUUGGUGAGGUAACGGCCCACCAAGACGAUGAUGCGUAGCCGGCCUGAGAGGGUGAACGGCCACAUUGGGACUGAGACACGGCCCAGACUCCUACGGGACGCAGCAGUAGGGAAUUUUCGGCAAUGGGGGCAACCCUGACCGAGCAACGCCGCGUGAGUGAAGACGGCCUUCGGGUUGUAAAGCUCUGUUGUAAGGGAAGAACGGUAGAUAGAGAAUAUCUAAGUGACGGUACCUGACCAGAAAGCCACGGCUAACUACGUG